This 446-nucleotide ribosomal RNA is filed under the name uncultured bacterium. RNAcentral's name for it is "partial 16S ribosomal RNA". It matches the Rfam family "Bacterial small subunit ribosomal RNA", at positions 338 to 795 of the family's 1533-position model. The record is from RNAcentral.
CCUACGGGAUGCAGCAGUCGAGAAUCAUUCACAAUGGGGGAAACCCUGAUGGUGCGACGCCGCGUGGGGGAAUGAAGGUCUUCGGAUUGUAAACCCCUGUCAUGUGGGAGCAAAUUAAAAAGAUAGUACCACAAGAGGAAGAGACGGCUAACUCUGUGCCAGCAGCCGCGGUAAUACAGAGGUCUCAAGCGUUGUUCGGAAUCACUGGGCGUAAAGCGUGCGUAGGCUGUUUCGUAAGUCGUGUGUGAAAGGCGCGGACUCAACCCGCGGACGGCACAUGAUACUGCGAGACUAGAGUAAUGGAGGGGGAACCGGAAUUCUCGGUGUAGCAGUGAAAUGCGUAGAUAUCGAGAGGAACACUCGUGGCGAAGGCGGGUUCCUGGACAUUAACUGACGCUGAGGCACGAAGGCCAGGGGAGCGAAAGGGAUUAGAUACCCCGGUAGUC